AUUGAACGCUGGCGGCAGGCUUAACACAUGCAAGUCGAACGAGUGGCGGACGGGCGAGUAAUGCUUGGGAAUCUAGCUAAUGGAGGGGGAUAACUACGGGAAACCGUAGCUAAUACCGCGUACCAUAGGAUGAGCCCAAGGGGGAUUAGGUAGUUGGUGAGGUAAAGGCUCACCAAGCCGACGAUGCCUAGCUGGUCUGAGAGGAUGACCAGCCACACUGGGACUGAGACACGGCCCAGACUCCUACGGGAGGCAGCAGUGGGGAAUAUUGCGCAAUGGGGGCAACCCUGACGCAGCCAUGCCGCGUGAUUGAAGAAGGCCUUCGGGUUGUAAAGUACUUUCGGCAGGGAGGCGUUAUCCGCAGAAGAAGCACCGGCUAACUCCGUGCCAGCAGCCGCGGUAAUAC
RNAcentral lists this ribosomal RNA (406 nucleotides) under uncultured bacterium. RNAcentral describes it as "partial 16S ribosomal RNA". It matches the Rfam family "Bacterial small subunit ribosomal RNA", at positions 30 to 526 of the family's 1533-position model. The record is from RNAcentral.